This 258-nucleotide ribosomal RNA is filed under the name Lepisma sp. MF-1995. RNAcentral's name for it is "partial 28S ribosomal RNA". It matches the Rfam family "Eukaryotic large subunit ribosomal RNA", at positions 1592 to 1823 of the family's 3401-position model. Lineage: Eukaryota; Metazoa; Arthropoda; Insecta; Zygentoma; Lepismatidae. The record is from RNAcentral.
GAGCGAAAGGGAAUCUGGUUNCUAUUNNAGAACUGGGUUGCGGAACCGUAUUCCUCGGGCCCCCUAAAAGGCUCGUCAGGGUAACCUAAGAGGACCCGGAGACGCCGCCGGGAGCUCUGGGAAGAGUUUUCUUUUCUGUAUGAGCGUUCAUGCUCCCUGGAAUCAUCUCGCAUGGAGAUAGGGAGAAGUCCGCGAAGAGCACCGCAGUUGCAGCGGUGUCCAGAGAUUCCCGACGGACCUUGAAAAUCCGGGAGAGGG